GACGAACGCUGGCGGCGUGCCUAAUACAUGCAAGUAGAACGCUGAAGGAGGAGCUUGCUUCUCUGGAUGAGUUGCGAACGGGUGAGUAACGCGUAGGUAACCUGCCUGGUAGCGGGGGAUAACUAUUGGAAACGAUAGCUAAUACCGCAUAAGAGUAGAUGUUGCAUGACAUUUGCUUAAAAGGUGCAAUUGCAUCACUACCAGAUGGACCUGCGUUGGAUUAGCUAGUUGGUGGGGUAACGGCUCACCAAGGCGACGAUACAUAGCCGACCUGAGAGGGGGAUCGGCCACACUGGGACUGAGACACGGCCCAGACUCCUACGGGAGGCAGCAGUAGGGAAUCUUCGGCAAUGGACGGAAGUCUGACCGAGCAACGCCGCGGGAGUGAAGAAGGUUUUCGGAUCGUAAAGCUCUGUUGUAAGAGAAGAGCGAGUGUGAGAGUGGAAAGUUCACACUGUGACGGUAUCUUAACAGAAAGGAACGGCUAACUACGUG
This 495-nucleotide ribosomal RNA is filed under the name uncultured bacterium. RNAcentral's name for it is "partial 16S ribosomal RNA". It matches the Rfam family "Bacterial small subunit ribosomal RNA", at positions 28 to 507 of the family's 1533-position model. The record is from RNAcentral.